Molecule: ribosomal RNA, 484 nt
Filed under: uncultured bacterium
Lineage: Bacteria
Description: partial 16S ribosomal RNA
Rfam family: Bacterial small subunit ribosomal RNA
Source: RNAcentral
AUUGAACGCUGGCGGCAUGCUUUACACAUGCAAGUCGAACGGCAGCGCGGGCUUCGGCCUGGCGGCGAGUGGCGAACGGGUGAGUAAUGCAUCGGAACGUGCCCAGUAGUGGGGGAUAGCCCGGCGAAAGCCGGAUUAAUACCGCAUACGACCUGAGGGUGAAAGCGGGGGACCGAAAGGCCUCGCGCUAUUGGAGCGGCCGAUGUCGGAUUAGCUAGUUGGUGGGGUAAAGGCUUACCAAGGCGACGAUCCGUAGCUGGUCUGAGAGGACGACCAGCCAGACGGGGAGUGUGACGCGGACGAGACGCCUCCGUGAGCCAGCAGUGGGGAGUGGUGGACGAUGGGGGCAAGACUGAACCAGGCAUUCCGCGGGCAGGAAGCAGGCCUUCGGGUUGUAAGGCGGUUUUGUUGGGGAAGAAAGACUAUGGACGAAUAACCCGGGGGCAUGACGGUACCGGAAGAAUAGGCACCGGCUCACUACGUG